GAAGCGGCAACAGCUCAAAUUUGAAAUCUGGCGCAGGCCCGAGUUGUAAUUUGUAGAGGAUGCUUCUAGGCAGCGGCCGUUCUAAGUUCCUUGGAACAGGACGUCAUAGAGGGUGAGAAUCCCGUAUGUGACCGGCACGCACCUUGUACGUAGCUCCUUCGACGAGUCGAGUUGUUUGGGAAUGCAGCUCUAAAUGGGAGGUAAAUUUCUUCUAAAGCUAAAUACCGGCUGGAGACCGAUAGCGCACAAGUAGAGUGAUCGAAAGAUGAAAAGCACUUUGGAAAGAGAGUUAAAAAGCACGUGAAAUUGUUGAAAGGGAAGCGCCUGCAACCAGACUUCGCGGCAGUGUUCCGCCGGUCUUCUGACCGGUCUAUUCUCUGUCGCGAGGCCAUCAUCGUCUGGGGCCGCCGGAUAAGACUGGAGGAAUGUAGCUCCCCUCGGGGAGUGUUAUAGCUUCCAGUGAUGCGGCGUGUCUCGGGCGAGGUCCGCGCUUCGGCAAGGAUGAUGGCGUAAUGGUUGUCGGCGGCCCGUCUUGAAACACGGACCAAGGAGUCUAACAUCUAUGCGAGUGUUCGGGUGUCAAACCCCUACGCGUAAUGAAAGUGAACGGAGGUGGGAACUUUUUGUGCACCAUCGACCGAUCCUGAUGUCCUCGGAUGGAUUUGAGUAAGAGCAUAGCUGUUGGGACCCGAAAGAUGGUGAACUAUGCCUGAAUAGGGUGAAGCCAGAGGAAACUCUGGUGGA
Molecule: ribosomal RNA, 744 nt
Filed under: Pallidocercospora acaciigena
Lineage: Eukaryota; Fungi; Ascomycota; Dothideomycetes; Mycosphaerellales; Mycosphaerellaceae
Description: eukaryotic LSU rRNA
Rfam family: Eukaryotic large subunit ribosomal RNA
Source: RNAcentral